This 253-nucleotide ribosomal RNA is filed under the name uncultured bacterium. RNAcentral describes it as "partial 16S ribosomal RNA". It matches the Rfam family "Bacterial small subunit ribosomal RNA", at positions 524 to 776 of the family's 1533-position model. The record is from RNAcentral.
UACGUAGGGACCAAGCGUUGUUCGGAUUUACUGGGCGUAAAGGGCGCGUAGGCGGCGCGGUAAGCCACUUGUGAAAUCUCUGAGCUUAACUCAGAACGGCCAAGUGAUACUGCAGUGCUAGAGUGUGGAAGGGGCAAUCGGAAUUCUUGGUGUAGCGGUGAAAUGCGUAGGUAUCAAGAGGAACACCUGAGGUGAAGACGGGUCUCUGGACAGUUCCUGACGCUGAGGCACGAAGGUCAGGGGAGCAAACGGG